AGGUGGAGCAAAACUUCAAAAAUAGGUCUCAGUUCGGACUGUAGGCUGCAACUCGCCUACACGAAGUUGGAAUUGCUAGUAAUCGUGGAUCAGCAUGCCACGGUGAAUACGUUCCCGGGUCUUGUACACACCGCCCGUCACACCAUGGGAGCUGGUAACACCCGAAGUCAGUAGUCUAACUGCAAGGAGGACGCUGCCGAAGGUGGGAUUAGCGACUGGGGUGAAGUCGUAACAAGGUACC
This 241-nucleotide ribosomal RNA is filed under the name uncultured bacterium. RNAcentral describes it as "partial 16S ribosomal RNA". It matches the Rfam family "Bacterial small subunit ribosomal RNA", at positions 1260 to 1500 of the family's 1533-position model. The record is from RNAcentral.